GUGGGUAACCUGCCCUGUACAGGGGGAUAACAGCUGGAAACGGCUGCUAAUACCGCAUAAGCGCACGAGGAGACAUCUCCUAGUGUGAAAAACUCCGGUGGUACAGGAUGGGCCCGCGUCUGAUUAGCUGGUUGGCAGGGUAACGGCCUACCAAGGCAACGAUCAGUAGCCGGUCUGAGAGGAUGAACGGCCACAUUGGAACUGAGACACGGUCCAAACUCCUACGGGAGGCAGCAGUGGGGAAUAUUGCACAAUGGGGGAAACCCUGAUGCAGCAACGCCGCGUGAGUGAAGAAGUAUUUCGGUAUGUAAAGCUCUAUCAGCAGGGAAGAUAAUGACGGUACCUGACUAAGAAGCUCCGGCUAAAUACGUGCCAGCAGCCGCGGUAAUACGUAUGGAGCAAGCGUUAUCCGGAUUUACUGGGUGUAAAGGGUGCGUAGGUGGCAGUGCAAGUCAGAUGUGAAAGGCCGGGGCUCAACCCCGGAGCUGCAUUUGAAACUGCAUAGCUAGAGUACAGGAGAGGCAGGCGGAAUUCCUAGUGUAGCGGUGAAAUGCGUAGAUAUUAGGAGGAACACCAGUGGCGAAGGCGGCCUGCUGGACUGUUACUGACACUGAGGCACGAAAGCGUGGGGAGCAA
This 636-nucleotide ribosomal RNA is filed under the name uncultured bacterium. Its description in RNAcentral is "bacterial SSU rRNA". It matches the Rfam family "Bacterial small subunit ribosomal RNA", at positions 117 to 771 of the family's 1533-position model. The record is from RNAcentral.